AUGUAGGAGAAAUCGACUGGGAAAAUUACCACAAGUAGCAAAGGGUUGAUGGACAUAUCACAUCAUUUCCAGGAAGAGACCAACAAGAGAAGCAAGUAUUCAGGUAUUGGUUAUGGUAGCAAGAAAGAGAAUCUAGCAGCAUUCCUUGAAUCACAAUUUCCAGAAGAAUGAUUCAAGUCUUCAAGGGAUGCAGAGGACAUUGACAUUUGACCAGGCAGAUCAUGGCAAGUGGUUAAGCAGCAGUAUUCGAUCGAGGCAUGCUGAGAUUGUUUGUUAUGGCAGUAGGGCAGAGCAUCUAUCACUCCUGUCAUGUUAUUAAAGUUGACAAACUAUUUACAUCAUUUCUAGGAAGAGGUCCACAAGAGAAGCUUAGCAAGUAGUCAAGUGAUACUGAGAGCAUUGUUUAUGGCCUAAAGAUCGAGUCUUCACGGCAUGCAGAGAACAUUGACAAUGGGGAAGAGAAACCGUGGUCACUCACUGAAUCUUCUCCAGGAAUAGGACCUUGGUUUCUGUUCCAAGUAUUCAAGAGAUUCUGGAGCAGUGGUUAAUGGCAGCAGAGCAUCACUCCAUGCAUCACUUCCAGAAAAAGGACCAGGAGCAAGGUUUGGUUUAACCUUUUGUUGUUGUUGCCAGUGAAGUAUUGUUGAUGAAUCUGCAUUUAGGUUAAUGUGUGUUUUUUUUUUUAUGUUGUGGCUAUUAGAUAUUGUAUGUUUCCAACAUAUAUGUUUGAUGGUAAAGAGUAAAACUAAAAAGGUUUGAAAUUCAUUAUUUUUGUCAGUUGUGAAGCAGGAAUUCAAGAAAAACUAAUAUGCAGACUUUACAACAUAAUGUGUAAAUUAUGAUUUCUGACUUUUUCUGUUGCUUGAAAUUAUUUGUGUUUAUUACUGUAGAAAAAGUAUUUUUUGCAAGUUUCAAUAAGAAAUAAGAAGGGCGAAAUAUAAAGUAAGUUUAUAGCGAUGUAUAUUAGAUUAUUUUUGGCUGUAAGGUCAAAGUUGGUACCUGGUAGCAUUGCCUUUUUUGUCAAAUCCAAGCGGGUGUUUCAUAAAGCUGUUCAUACAAAGUUAAGAGCGACUCUAAGAAUGACUGGUGAACCUUUCUUAUGCGUUAAAAUAUCACCAAUUAACAUUUUUAAUGGUGAAUAUCAUUUACCACGAGAAAGGAUCACCCGUCGUUCUUAAAGUUCCUCUUACCAACAGCUUUAUGAAAUGGCUCCCUGGGUCCAUUCCAUCUCGCAAUGGGGUCUAUGUCCAUAUUUCAGUUGAAUUAAUCUCUGUGGCUGCUGCUCUUUAACAAAUAAUCAUCAAAAUAUAUGGGUGGCCUAAUUACCCGAUGCUGUUUCAAGUGGCAAUCGCUAAAUUGUUGCCUGCUAUUAAAUGUCAGUUUCUUUUUUCAGAAUAAAGUUAUUACAAGACUUGAUGCCCCAUCUCAAAAGAGAUUACAAUUGUACCAUAGUUCAAAACCAUGGACUAUGCAGGUAUGCGUACAUUAUUAUGAUUAUUUUAUCACAUCCACUAAGAAAAGUCCAAUUAUUUAUGCAAGUCCAUGGUUUUGUACUGUGGCAUGGCCACAUUGAAACCUCUUUAAAUAAUAUUGGCCUACAUUAAACAAAGUUCAGAUACUUGACUUUGAAGGUCUUUGCAAUGCAUACUCAACUCCACUUCUUUUUCUUUAUCCUGGUAAGAGUGGAGAGUCAUAAUAUAGAGAUAUGAUCUGCUUUGAGAGGCAUGGUUGUUUCUAGAGGCUCACUUGAGGUGACUGCAACGCGACUAUGCCCGAGGGCAUGGUCUGGCCGAUGCGGUACCCGCGAGCCGAAAGAAACAACCAUGUCUCGAUAUAAAAGCAGUCCAUAUACAUUUUAUGAACCGAAUUAAACAUUAAAUCUAGUCUAGAUCUAGGCCUAGAUCUUAAACAAGUUAUGGUCUAUUCCUAAAAGCCCUAGCCCAUGCUAACGUCAGGCUAAACUUGUUAUGUUAGGAGUGGGACCUGACUUAGGUCUCAAAUUUGAAUAUCAAAGCAGUCCAUACCGGUACGGUAGUGGUAGUAGGAACCAAAUUAGGGUCUGAUUGAAUGGAUCUACAGUAAGCCUAGCCUGAGUCUUAAAUCUCCAAUAGAGUCCAACUUUAGAUCUAACAUAGACCCCUACGUCAGAUCUAAGACUAAACGGAACAUUAGGUCUA
Long non-coding RNA from Lytechinus variegatus (green sea urchin), 2177 nucleotides. RefSeq lists it as uncharacterized. The transcript is spliced from 3 exons. NCBI's taxonomy places the organism in Eukaryota, Metazoa, Echinodermata, Echinoidea, Temnopleuroida, Toxopneustidae. The record is from RefSeq and is a predicted model, not a curated record.